This 497-nucleotide ribosomal RNA is filed under the name uncultured bacterium. RNAcentral describes it as "partial 16S ribosomal RNA". It matches the Rfam family "Bacterial small subunit ribosomal RNA", at positions 28 to 507 of the family's 1533-position model. The record is from RNAcentral.
GAUGAACGCUGGCGGCGUGCCUAAUACAUGCAAGUCGAGCGAACGGACGAGAAGCUUGCUUCUCUGAUGUUAGCGCCGGACGGGUGAGUAACACGUGGAUAACCUACCUAUAAGACUGGGAUAACUUCGGGAAACCGGAGCUAAUACCGGAUAAUAUUUUGAACCGCAUGGUUCAAAAGUGAAAGACGGUCUUGCUGUCACUUAUAGAUGGAUCCGCGCUGCAUUAGCUAGUUGGUAAGGUAACGGCUUACCAAGGCAACGAUGCAUAGCCGACCUGAGAGGGUGAUCGGCCACACUGGAACUGAGACACGGUCCAGACUCCUACGGGAGGCAGCAGUAGGGAAUCUUCCGCAAUGGGCGAAAGCCUGACGGAGCAACGCCGCGUGAGUGAUGAAGGUCUUCGGAUCGUAAAACUCUGUUAUUAGGGAAGAACAUAUGUGUAAGUAACUGUGCACAUCUUGACGGUACCUAAUCAGAAAGCCACGGCUAACUACGUG